AGCUCCAAUAGCGUAUAUUAAAGUUGUUGCGGUUAAAAAGCUCGUAGUUGGAUCUCGGCGAGUAGGGGGCGGUUCAUUAUCUGAUGUUACUGCCCCAUUUACUCGUGUUUUUGACAGCCGGUUGGUGGUCCCCUUAAAUGGGUGUCGCCAGUCACUGUCAGGUUUACUUUGAAAAAAUUAGAGUGCUCAAAGCAGGCUUAUAACGCUUGAAUAUUCGUGCAUGGAAUAAUAGAAUAGGAAGUCGUUUCUAUUUUGUUGGUUUUCGGAAAAUGACUUAAUGAUUAAUAGGGACAAUCGGGGGCAUUAGUAUUCAAACGACAGAGGUGAAAUUCUUGGACCGUUUGAAGACUAACUACUGCGAAAGCAUUUGCCAAGAGUGUUUUCA
Molecule: ribosomal RNA, 385 nt
Filed under: uncultured eukaryote
Lineage: Eukaryota
Description: SSU rRNA
Rfam family: Eukaryotic small subunit ribosomal RNA
Source: RNAcentral